This 736-nucleotide ribosomal RNA is filed under the name uncultured archaeon. Its description in RNAcentral is "bacterial SSU rRNA". It matches the Rfam family "Archaeal small subunit ribosomal RNA", at positions 139 to 880 of the family's 1478-position model. The record is from RNAcentral.
ACUGAGAAUAAUACCUCAUAGGUUAUGGAUGCUGGAAUGCUUCAUAGCCCAAAGCCCCGGCGCCUAAGGAUGACUCUGCGGACUAUCAAGUAGUAGUCAGGGUAACGACCUGACUAGCCUACGACGGAUACGGGGUGUGAGAGCACUAGCCCGGAGAUGGAUUCUGAGACACGAAUCCAGGCCCUACGGGGUGCAGCAGGCGCGAAACUUCCGCAAUGCUCGACAGAGUGACGGAGGGAUUCCAAGUGCCUAUGCUAUGCGUAGGCUGUUUUAUGUCUAAAUAACAUGGAGAGUAAGAGCUGGGUAAGACGGGUGCCAGCCGCCGCGGUAAUACCUGCAGCUCGAGUGGUAACCGCUAUUAUUGGGCCUAAAGCGUCCGUAGCCGGUUUGGUAAAUAUCUGGGUAAAUCGUGAGGCUUAACUUCACGAAUUUCGGAUAGACUGCCAGAUUUGGGAUCGGGGGAGGUCAGAGGUACUCCAGGGGUAGCGGUGAAAUGUUGUAAUCCUUGGAGGACCACCGGUAGCGAAGGCGUCUGACUAGAACGAGUCCGACGGUGAGGGACGAAGCCCUGGGGCGCAAACCGGAUUAGAUACCCGGGUAGUCCAGGGUGUAAACAAUGUGGGCUUUGUAUUGGAUGUCCCACGUGGGCGUCCAGUGCAGAAGAGAAGUUGUUAAGUCCACCGCCUGGGAAGUACGGUCGCAAGGCUGAAACUUAAAGGAAUUGGCGGGGAGCACA